GUGGGAUCAGUGGUGGGAUCCAUCGGUGCCGUGGUGGAUCCAUGGUGGCCGUUCCAGCAGCUGGAGGCGUUCGGGGGAGCCUUCCUCAACCGGUUCGUUUGUGCCACGCUGAACAAUCCGGUCCUGGAGAGCAUCACCCUGAUCGACACCCCCGGGAUCCUGGCGGGCACCAAGAACAGCAUCGGCCGGGGUUACGACUUCCCGGGGGUGCUGCGCUGGUUCCUACAAUGAAUUAUUUCAGAAUUAGGGUUGGAUUUGGGGUUCCCAUUGGGAUUUUGGAAUUAUUUCGGAAUUAGGGCAGAAUUUAGGAUUUCCAUUGGGAUUUUGGGCUCCAAUCCCCCAUUUUCCUCCAGGCUACGACUUCCUGGGGGUGCUGCGCUGGUUCUUGGGUU
Molecule: long non-coding RNA, 392 nt
Filed under: Taeniopygia guttata (zebra finch)
Lineage: Eukaryota; Metazoa; Chordata; Aves; Passeriformes; Estrildidae
Description: lncRNA (ENSTGUG00000019268.1)
Source: RNAcentral